This 2344-nucleotide long non-coding RNA is filed under the name Cricetulus griseus (Chinese hamster). Its description in RNAcentral is "lncRNA (ENSCGRG00015040396.1)". Lineage: Eukaryota; Metazoa; Chordata; Mammalia; Rodentia; Cricetidae. The record is from RNAcentral.
CUAUGUUGUAGAAAGGAGAAAGCAACAGUAAGCAGGCAAAGAAAUGCAUAAUUUAUUUUUUAGGCCAUGUAAAUGCUAUGAAAAGGACCAAACUUUCUAAAUAGUAGCAUGGCAGUGUAUGUAGGGAGAGCUGCUCUUUUGGUGGGGGAGGGGAGAAUAGUUUGGUCAAAGACUUGAAUGAAGGUCCUGAAAGCAGAGCAUCCUGGGUAGAGAGAAGAGUAUGUGCAAGGGUAUGGAGUUGAGAGCAGCGACUUCAAGGAUCUGAGCAUAGUGAUAGUGUGACCUUCUGUGGCUGCUGUGAGUAAAUAUGAACUGGAAGGCUGUGUGUAAAUUGCUUAGCUUAGAGCCUGGCAGCUUAGCCAGGAAGAGAGAGAAGAUGAGGAUGAGAGCCAGCUUCUGGACCACGUGUCAUGGCUCUUAUUUCCAUCACGUCACCAUGGCCAUCAUCUCUCUCUCACCUUGACUCGUGUUGGGUUGCUUCUGGUGACACUCUUCCUUGUUCUGUUCCUCCAGCAAGCACCUCUCCUGAGUAUCCUGGGGCUUUGGUGAUGUCAUCCCACCAGGUUGCUGCUGCCAGUGGUGAGCCAGGCUCCAGAAAAGGCCCCUCUGACCUGGCUGGUCCAUGGAGGGGUGCAGUUCACAGAAAGAGUGAGCAUUCAGUUAGGACCAUGAGUUGGAACAAGCAGAGGGGCUCUUGUGGUUACAGAGAAGAUGCAGCAGGGAGGCUCUCACAUGCCUCUCCAUUUGUCCCAGAGAAAUGAGUGUAGUUGACUUUGGAUCCUUGGAGUGACAGGUUCCAGGACUGCCUCACCACUGGUUACCUGAGUCAAUACCUGUCCAAUCCUUUGUAUAAAAUGUAGAAUUUGCAUAGAGCCCUCACAGUCUUGCAGCCUACUUUAAAUCAUGUCCAGAUGACUUACAAUGCCUAAUACAAUGUAAAUGCUGUGCAAAUAGUUGCCGCACUGUGUUGUUAGGAAAUAAUGGCAAGGGAAAUCUCCUCUACAUGUUCAGUACAGAUGUAAUUUCCUCCCCCCAAAGAUUUUCUAAUCAAAGUUUGUCGAAUCCACAGAUGUGCAACCCAUGGGCAUGGAGGGCUGGCUGUCCUCUCUAGUUAGGGGCUAUUAUUUCUCUCUCUCUGUAUGUAGGUAUGUAUGUAUAUGUGUAUAUAGCUAUAUACAAAUAAUAAUAUACAUACACACAAAGGUAUGCAUAUACAUAUAUAUUAUAUAUAAUGCAACGAAGAAAUUCUGAGACAUCUAGCCCUACGAGAUGCUGUGGACUUGCUGUCAUUCUUUUAUUCAACAAAUGUUUGUUUCCUUGUUUAUUUAGUGAGUUUGUGGGUGUAGGUGUGUACACUUGCAUGUGGAAGACAGAAAUCAACUUUGGGGAUGUCAUUCUCGGCGUUACCUACCUGGAGCUUUUUCUGAACACUUUUAAAAAUGUAUUAUUAUCAUUUUGCAUAUGUGUGUGGCAUUUGUGUACAUGCAUGCUUUUAUGUGUGACUAUACACGUGUCUGGAGGCUCAAAGUUAAUGCCAAAUGUCUUCCUCAGUUUCUUUCUUCUCUAUUUACUGAGGCAGGACCUCUUCCUGAAGCUGGAACCCAUCAACUCUGGAUAAUAUAUCAGUCUAGCCUACUCCAGGGAGCCCCUCUUUCUGUCAACUAAGUUUUGGGAUUGCAGUUUGCCUCCAUGCCUGCCCAGCAUCUACCUGGUGCUGGAAAUCCCAACCCUGGUCCACAUGCUUGCACAGUAAAUGAUUUAUACACAGAGACAUCCACCCAAUCCACACCUUAUGAGACUGGCUUUGAACUUAUCAAUUAGGCAAGGCUGGCUGGCCAUCAAGCCUCAGGAUGAGAGCCAGCUUCUGAUGAGAUACCUGCCCUACUGUGUGUUUGCAGCCCUGACAGUUUAGUUUGCUUCUGAUGACGAUAUUGUACCCACUGAAUAGAGGAGGAACCCAAGACUCAGAAAACAAAACAUUUCCCUUCUCUACUUCUCGGCUUUAAGCCAGCCUUUCUGUGACUCAGAACCUGCUGAGGACCUCUCUGCUUCCCAGAACAGUCUGGAGCAACGCUUGAGGCAGGAUCAUCCACAUCUGGAACAUACCAAGAGUGUGUCUUGUGACAACUGACUGAUAGAGCCCAGGUCCUCAGGCAGAGGCACACUGUGAGCCACUGUAUGAGCCACCCCCACACAGGCAAUUGCAAAAGAGGGUGACUCAGGAGGAAAAAUAAGCAGUCAGAAGCAGAACCAGAGAAAGAUAUGAUGGAGUUACUGAGGCCAGGGGCCAGGAACUUCCUUCAAAAACAAAAGGAGGGACUGGAGAGAUGGCUCAGUGGUUCAG